CCUACGGGAGGCAGCAGUGGGGAAUAUUGGGCAAUGGGCGCAAGCCUGACCCAGCAACGCCGCGUGAAGGAAGACGGCUUUCGGGUUGUAAACUUCUUUUCUGUGGGACGAAGAAAGUGACGGUACCUCAGGAAUAAGCCACCGCUAACUACGUGCCAGCAGCCGCGGUAAUACGUAGGUGGCAAGCGUUAUCCGGAUUUAUUGGGUGUAAAGGGCGUGUAGGCGGGAAAGCAAGUCAGAUGUGAAAAUUCAGGGCUCAACCCUGAGCCUGCAUUUGAAACUGUUUUUCUUGAGUGCAGGAGAGGCAAUCGGAAUUCCGUGUGUAGCGGUGAAAUGCGUAGAUAUACGGAGGAACACCAGUGGCGAAGGCGGAUUGCUGGACAGUAACUGACGCUGAGGCGCGAAAGCGUGGGGAGCAAACAGGAUUAGAUACCCUUGUAGUC
RNAcentral lists this ribosomal RNA (443 nucleotides) under uncultured bacterium. RNAcentral describes it as "partial 16S ribosomal RNA". It matches the Rfam family "Bacterial small subunit ribosomal RNA", at positions 338 to 795 of the family's 1533-position model. The record is from RNAcentral.